Molecule: long non-coding RNA, 416 nt
Organism: Choloepus didactylus (southern two-toed sloth)
Lineage: Eukaryota; Metazoa; Chordata; Mammalia; Pilosa; Megalonychidae
Exons: 3
Source: RefSeq, a predicted model, not a curated record
GGCUUACUGACACCCAAGUGUCUCCCGAAGGAUGGACUGGAAUUCCAAGUGAUUAUCUCCACCUCCCUCCCCCUAGGGUGGCUCGAGGAUGGAUGAAGGACAGAAGAUAGGAAAGAAGCCAUGUUGGGGAGAGGAGAUAGGGGGUGAGUGGAGAAGACUCAUCUGGAUGGAAUCGAAUCAUAGACUCAUUCAUUCAUUCAUUCAUUCGGUGAAUCAAGCACGUGCCUUGGCUGGGCGCUGAGGGAAGUAGUUGAAAUUGCAGAUUGAUUCAGGGAUGAAGAUGUGACCCAAGUCAGUCCAAUGAGAGUCGGCCUUGGAACUACAACUGGAAGGAUUGGCAAAGAGGCACAGACAUGGUCUGCUGGAGAAUGAAGCCCACACAGAAGAAAACAGGAGCAGUAGAGAAAUACAGGGUC